GAUGAACGCUGACAGAAUGCUUAACACAUGCAAGUCUACUUGAACUUCGGUUUGGGUGGCGGACGGGUGAGUAACGCGUAAAGAACUUGCCUCACAGAUAGGGACAACAUUUGGAAACGAAUGCUAAUACCUGAUAUUAUGAUUUUAGGGCAUCCUAGAAUUAUGAAAGCUAUAUGCACUGUGAGAGAGCUUUGCGUCCCAUUAGCUAGUUGGAGAGGUAACGGCUCACCAAGGCGAUGAUGGGUAGCCGGCCUGAGAGGGUGAUCGGCCACAAGGGGACUGAGACACGGCCCUUACUCCUACGGGAGGCAGCAGUGGGAAUAUUGGACAAUGGACCAAGAGUCUGAUCCAGCAAUUCUGUGUGCACGAUGAAGUUUUUCGGAAUGUAAAGUGCUUUCAGUUGGGAAGAAAAAAAUGACGGUACCAACAGAAGAAGUGACGGCUAAAUACGUG
Molecule: ribosomal RNA, 453 nt
Filed under: uncultured bacterium
Lineage: Bacteria
Description: partial 16S ribosomal RNA
Rfam family: Bacterial small subunit ribosomal RNA
Source: RNAcentral